GACGAACGCUGGCGGCGUGCUUAACACAUGCAAGUCGAACGAAGAGCGAUGGAAGCUUGCUUCUCUCAAUCUUAGUGGCGAACGGGUGAGUAACGCGUAAUCAACCUGCCCUUCAGAGGGGGACAACAGUUGGAAACGACUGCUAAUACCGCAUACGAUCUAAUCUCGGCAUCGAGGAUAGAUGAAAGGUGGCCUCUACAUGUAAGCUAUCACUGAAGGAGGGGAUUGCGUCUGAUUAGCUAGUUGGGGGGGUAACGGCCCACCAAGGCGAUGAUCAGUAGCCGGUCUGAGAGGAUGAACGGCCACAUUGGGACUGAGACACGGCCCAGACUCCUACGGGAGGCAGCAGUGGGGAAUCUUCCGCAAUGGACGAAAGUCUGACGGAGCAACGCCGUGUGAGCGAUGACGGCCUUCGGGUUGUAAAGCUCUGUUAAUCGGGACGAAAGGCCUUCUUGCGAAUAGGGAGAAGGAUUGACGGUACCGUAAUAGAAAGCCACGGCUAACUACGUG
Molecule: ribosomal RNA, 510 nt
Filed under: uncultured bacterium
Lineage: Bacteria
Description: partial 16S ribosomal RNA
Rfam family: Bacterial small subunit ribosomal RNA
Source: RNAcentral